GGGCCAUUAAGUCAUGUAUACUUUUGACUGUCAUUUCAAAGCAUUUGAAUAUUAUAUAAACCACAAUGGGAAAUCAUUGGAAGACUAACUGAAUUAAAUAUCACCUGAUAAAGAAGGAUCAUUGGUAAAUUGCAGUUUUCCACUGAAUCAUUUGGAAGGUGAAAGAAAGAGUAUCCUAGCCUCUUUUCAAGUAUUGGCUUCAUUAAUGGGAGAUGGGGAAGUUCAGAAAGCAGUGACUGAAGUUGACUUCACCACCUGAUAUGAAAACAUUUCUUUCACCCAAAUGGAUCUGCCGCUGCCUUGUGAUACUGGAGUGGAUUUAUGGCAAUGCACCUCUGUUCUUUUUCACUAUUGGUGAAGAACACAAUCACUUUUCCUUUGAAC
Long non-coding RNA from Suricata suricatta (meerkat), 384 nucleotides. RefSeq lists it as uncharacterized. The record is from RefSeq and is a predicted model, not a curated record. The transcript is spliced from 3 exons. Lineage: Eukaryota; Metazoa; Chordata; Mammalia; Carnivora; Herpestidae.